CUUAUUUUCCCUAAAGAAAUCUUCCGUUUAUUACCCUCCAAUUAUCUGUUUUUAGGUGAACUCCGAGAUAAAUGAGGUCUGGAUUACAAUGAGCUAUUGUUCUUGCAUCCCGAGGUAGACUCCUCUUUUGUUUUUCUGACCCUAACAAUUUGCACUACAGGCAACCUUAAUUUUUUUCUCUGAUGACCACAAACUUAAUGAUAUUCCUCUGUGGAAUGAGGAUUGACAUGUGGCCUGUUCUCUUCAGAAAAUGGCAAGUCUAUACAGAUGUUGGAAGUAUCUCCCAUAACCAAUGUACAUUGAAUUAGACAUUGCGCAUUGAAGAGACUGGGAUACAGUCCCUGAUUCAUGGAAGGCAAUCUCUUGAGUGAUUUGUCUGCUGGUAGCAGAAUAAUGCACUCUUUGCUUCCAGGCCCAUAAAGUAGAAUUGGAAAAUAGGAUGGUACCAAAAGGGUGGAGGAACAUAAUAUUUGGUUGUGGAAGAUCUUAUUAGAAUGAGAGCUCACUUUUUUACAGUCAUUUUACUGCUUAUUGAAAAUGUUCAAGUGUUGUCUAGAGGUGCUACAUGUGAAUGCCAGGCAGAGUUAGGGUUUGAGGGGCAGAAAGAGAAGGCUGGAUUGCAUUGUAAGUGGGGGUAAAAAAGAGAUAUAAGAAUAAGCUAUAAGUGAUAAAGGACAACAAACAGGAAUAACAAAUGGGGUCUCCAGACAUUUACAAAUGUAAUAUUCCUUACGAGGGAAACUAAUUUAAGUAAGGAUUGAGAAAAGCUGCCAAGAUUUGCUCAGAGCACACUUGGAAUAGGACCUAGGGGCUUCAAGCUAUCAGAAGUGUGAACAAGCAGGCAGUUUGAUGAAUUGUAAUGAUUUUUAUUCCUUUUUCUCUUAUGGUGGUAAGAACUUUAACACCCAUAGUAGACUCUGCAUAUGGCUAGGGAAGAAGCCUGGUGCAGGUAAUAGGGAAACAUUUCUGGCAAGUGGUUGAGCAGAGCGGGGCUGUGGAGACCAGAGUCUUAUUGGUUGGAAAUAGAGGCUGGCACCCUAAAAAAUUGGUUUGUCCUCUAAUCCCAUUUUAUCAUACAUUCACAACAUAAAUCUAUAGGGAUUCAAGUAGCCAUGUGUUUGUUGCAAGUUAAUGACAAGCUUCAUUGCAUACUACUAAUUUUUUACACAGUCCAAAGAUUUCUUCCUUAAUAAUUCCAUGAAGGCUUCUCUCCCACUUGAAGUAACUGCAGAUUGGUCUUGAUGCCUUGAUUAGAGAAUCAUGUGAUAAUUACAUCAAACAGCAUCCAGUACUGAUUCAGAUAAUCCAAGUAUCUAUCAUUAACAAUCACACUUUAUUUAUUUAUUUAUUUAUUUAUUUAUUUAUUUAUUUAUUUAUUUAUUUAUUUAUUUUCAAUCACACAUUUUUACAGGCAAAAUUAACUUUCACUCAUAUUUGGGAGUUGUCAUGAAAUCAGAA
This 1458-nucleotide long non-coding RNA is filed under the name Vulpes vulpes (red fox). RNAcentral's name for it is "lncRNA (ENSVVUG00000002306.1)". The record is from RNAcentral. Lineage: Eukaryota; Metazoa; Chordata; Mammalia; Carnivora; Canidae.